Molecule: unclassified non-coding RNA, 165 nt
Filed under: uncultured Sordariomycetes
Lineage: Eukaryota; Fungi; Ascomycota; Sordariomycetes
Description: sequence contains ITS2
Source: RNAcentral
CAACCCUCAAGCGCUGUAGUGCUUGGUGUUGGGGCUUUUCUGCUGGCAACAGCAGGCCCUGAAAGCAAGUGGCGGGCUCGCCGUGACCCUGAGCGUAGUAGCUUACACAUCGCUUCUGCGGCUCGCGGCGGGUUCCCAGCCGUGAAAACCCCCUAAUUUUCACAA